This 497-nucleotide ribosomal RNA is filed under the name uncultured bacterium. RNAcentral describes it as "partial 16S ribosomal RNA". It matches the Rfam family "Bacterial small subunit ribosomal RNA", at positions 28 to 507 of the family's 1533-position model. The record is from RNAcentral.
GAUGAACGCUGGCGGCGUGCCUAAUACAUGCAAGUCGAGCGAACAGACGAGGAGCUUGCUCCUCUGACGUUAGCGGCGGACGGGUGAGUAACACGUGGAUAACCUACCUAUAAGACUGGGAUAACUUCGGGAAACCGGAGCUAAUCCCGGAUAAUAUAUUGAACCGCAUGGUUCAAUAGUGAAAGACGGCUUUGCUGUCACUUAUAGAUGGAUCCGCGCCGCAUUAGCUAGUUGGUAAGGUAACGGCUUACCAAGGCAACGAUGCGUAGCCGACCUGUGAGGGUGAUCGGCCGCACUGGAGCUGAGACACGGUCCAGGCGCCUACGGGAGGCAGCAGUAGGGAAUCUUCCGCAAUGGGCGAAAGCCUGACGGAGCAACGCCGCGUGAGUGAUGAAGGUCUUCGGAUCGUAAAACUCUGUUAUUAGGGAUAAACAAAUGUGUAAGUAACUAUGCACGUCUUGACGGUACCUAAUCAGAAGGCCACGGCUAACUACGUG